UAAAAUACUGGGAAAAGGAUAUGAGAUUUUUAUUCUGAUGCAGAGAGAAGGACGGCUGGUGAAAGUCCUUUGAAGGAAUACUGAUCUUACUCCCUUGGAGUAGCACCCGAAAGGGAUUGCCGCAUACCUGCGUUACGGGUUUGAGUGCAUAUGAGAUAUCAUAUGAACAAAGGUGGUACCGCGUGUAAGACUGACGUCCUUUGG
This 204-nucleotide non-coding RNA is filed under the name Erysipelotrichaceae bacterium. RNAcentral's name for it is "T-box sequence". It matches the Rfam family "T-box leader". Rfam says of the family: Uncharged tRNA acts as the effector for transcription antitermination of genes in the T-box leader family. The record is from RNAcentral. Lineage: Bacteria; Bacillati; Bacillota; Erysipelotrichia; Erysipelotrichales; Erysipelotrichaceae.